Hydra vulgaris (swiftwater hydra) is the source of this 384-nucleotide long non-coding RNA. RefSeq lists it as uncharacterized. The record is from RefSeq and is a predicted model, not a curated record. Lineage: Eukaryota; Metazoa; Cnidaria; Hydrozoa; Anthoathecata; Hydridae.
UAAAGUAUUCAUUUAUAAAUAUUGUUGUUUUUUAGUUGUAAAUAAAAAUAAUAUAACUAGAAAUAAUAAUGUCUGGUGCCGGUAGAAAAAUAGAUGCAGUUUUGAAAACAGUUUGAAGAAAACUUGCAAAGUUUGGUAAAAAGGAACAAAUAUCAACCAGGCAACUGAAGAACCACAAGCUAGUCAAUGUUCACAUAAGAGAACUGAAUCUAGUCAAUCUGCUGUAUGCCCAUGCUGUUACAAUUUUUCAACAGAAUGAGACUUCAGAAAUCUCACGUUUAUUCCUACAUCAAAUUCAAGCAAAAACAUUUAUAUAUUGGACAACGGAUUUAACACUAGAAAACUUUUUUUAUAAUUGAUGACAUGUUUUUAUAAACAUAGACA